UUUCUCCGGUAACACACCGAAAUCCGUUAUUUUUGGAAAAUUUAUCCAACAGUCUGCAAAUAGCUUUCAUUACGCUAGUCAAAUGUUCAAGAUUCUAAAUAAACCUCUUUAUAUUUUGUCCAAAGAAAAAAAUGAUACAUCUAACACGGGUUAGGUUGUUCCUAACCAGACAAAUACAUGACUAAUUUUGUACAAAAACUUUCAGUGUCCUCAGCAAGAAGCAGGGACCAACCUUUGUGGAUACUAUGUUUGCAGACACAUGAUCUCCAUCUGCAAAUCUGCUGAUAGUUGUGACGAUCCUCGCAAAUUAGUACCAGUAAGUCUAUCUUAAUUAAUAUCUUCUACUCCACUCAUAUGGCACAUUCUGGUCUUAAAAAUAUUGCAGCUCAUCUUAAAAUCAAGGACCCCUGAACCGCUCCCGGCUGGUGAAUUGCUGAUGGUUCGGAGAUUUAUCAGCGAUUUCUUGUGGCACCCCGGCUCAGAGAAACCGGAACGCCCCGUAUUCCAGCCCAGAGAUCGAGGAGAAGUCUCUGGAAUACGGCACUGCUUGACAUAGAACAAAUCAGCUCUUAUUACAAGAAUAAUAAUUACACGGGUCUGGUGUUACAAUGAUCACAUCAGCAUGGCGACACUACGCCUGCGAUACUACACUUGCUCUAUGCUAGCAGCGGAACAUCUCGUAGCAGCAGAAAACUUCUAGCAGCAAAACAAUGACGCAGGUGGUGAAAUCCACUCCGCAGGGACUCUGGCUGGGACACGAUCUAGCUCGCACGAAUGGAAACCACGACAAGCAAUCAAGCAAUCACGGCAUCACCUGCAAUCUUGCAUGACACGCAAGGUCAGUACAUUGAAUGUACUUGCAAGCUCACAACAACCAUAAACAUCAAGGCAAGACAAUAACAUAACAUCAACAGGUUAAUUAAUUAUCAACUACCAUGAUGAAGCAACUACUAAGAAUGAGAUAAACUAAUACAAUGCUGAUACAUCACCAUCUCAGAUCUCCAUAACCAUAUCUCUCUUGGCUAACCGGCCAAGCAAUAUACCCUCUCGAUUAACUCAUGAUCGAAACCAUACGGUGAUCUUUCCGGCGAUCACUACCAUGACCAACACUUGGUCUCAAACUGUGAUCUUUCCGGUGAUCACUACCAGGACCAACACUUGGUCUCCAACCUCAUCAUCAACAUCCUGCCAAUCUGUACUGCUCAACAUAUCAACUUAUAAAUCACCUAUAAGUCAUUCCAUCAUGUGAGUGUUGAUCGAACGGUGGGACCUAGUACGGACGUGACUAUCGAUAGAUUAAAUACACUCUGCAGAGGUAGCACACUGUACCCACACCACAGAACCCAUGGCCUCGCACUCCCAUUCGGGUGGACCAACGGCAUUCCGACAAAACCGAUCUACUGCCAUGACACUCUCCCGGCAACUCUGACCCAAAUCCCCAACGGGCUGGUCCUGGGUGGCCCCGUGUCUACCAAAGACACCCCGACCACUGUCGUGGUCAAAACACUCCCACUCGGGGACUCGGAUCCAUAAAAACAACAACGAGCACACAAGGUUAUGUCUGCUUACCAGGCCAGGGUACGCACACCCAUAACCUUCCCUAGUUGGAGGCACCGGCGAGAUGCACGACAAUAGACCGCAUUAGGGCCUUCCCCAUAAAGGCAAAUGUGGUUGCACUGGAAAAGCCCGAUUCGGCGGCACCUGAUCAACUUAAUGACGGAAUUUAUCCCCAAAAAUAUAACUGCAAUGGCUGAUACUCCGAUAUCAACUAUCAAACUAGAAUCCAAAUCAUAGCAAUAUCCAACAAAUAAUCCAAGCAUAAUAUCAUCCUCUCAAAAUACUCCAAGGGUAGCACUACACUACUAUCAUGAUGAAUCCAGAAACAAUAAUCCUACUACUCCAAUAACAAGAACAAAGCUAUUCGGCUAAGGUCCACAUGUAAACAUCAUUUCCAAAAAUAAUACUCCAAGCAACAGAACAUCAACUAGCACCAUGAAAAUAAUCAUACUAACCACUAAUAAUCCAAAGGCAGCAUGAUAUCCAAAGUAAUACUCCCAAAGAUAAUAACAGGUAUCAUCAUGAAGAUAAUCAUACUAACCACUAAUAAUCCAAAGGAAGCAUGAUAUCCAAGGUAAUACUCCCAAAGAUAAUAACAGGUAUCAUCAUGAAAAUAGUCAUACUAACCACUAAUAAUCCAAAGGCAGCAUGACAUCCAAUGUAAUACUCCAAAAUUAUCAUAUCCAACACCACCAUGAAAAUAAUCAUAACAUAAGCCACUAAUAAUCCAAUGGCAACAUGUCAACCACAUAAGCUGCAAAAUAUAAGUCCUAGAACUCCAAGCAACAUCAUGGCAAUAACAAGAUCAAGAUACAACUCUGAGAAAUUGCCAUGCACAAAGUCAUGUAGCUAAAGCAAUAUUUUAACAAGUUCAAAUAAUUUAAACCAUGUCACUGCAUUGCAAUCAUGCAAAUGAAGGGUGUGGCUUGCCUGGGGUGGAAGAAAUCACCAGGAGAAAGUGCGAGAAACUCGCGGAAAGGAUCGCCGGAAAACGUACUCUCUCGGAGGGGGCUGAAUAAGGGCAAGGGGAAAAUGGUCAUUUUCAGAAUGUCAAAACAUGGUGAAAAUGGGUCCAUCAGAACGGGCUCGAUGAAACGAAGAAGUGGGCUUUGGAAUCACCUCAUUUGGAGUUGUGGUUAAAAAGAUAUGAGGUGUUUUCUGCCAGGGACCCAUCUGUAAUGAAAAACUUCAAAAUCUGGGCAUGGACAGAAAAACAGAAAGCGCCUUCAGGUUUAAUACGUUUUCUGUGAAAGAAAACGGCU
This 2819-nucleotide long non-coding RNA is filed under the name Triticum aestivum (bread wheat). RNAcentral's name for it is "long non-coding RNA (TAES_LNC005946)". Lineage: Eukaryota; Viridiplantae; Streptophyta; Magnoliopsida; Poales; Poaceae. The record is from RNAcentral.